Molecule: unclassified non-coding RNA, 4768 nt
Filed under: Daphnia magna
Lineage: Eukaryota; Metazoa; Arthropoda; Branchiopoda; Diplostraca; Daphniidae
Description: serine/threonine-protein kinase MARK2, transcript variant X1
Source: RNAcentral
GACGGAUGAAAUCGGCCCUGUAAUAUCAAGUAGAUAGUGAUAUUGUCAACCAAAGACUGAAGUUGUUCUGAAUUAAGACAGUAGUGAAAAUAAAAAAUGGCUGCGGCGAUAUUAUCGCGCGUGGAUCAAAGCCAUAACAUUGACAAACUAGUUCGCGUUGGUCCAUAUGAGCUGCUUAAGACGAUUGGAAAAGGAAAUUUCGCUGUUGUGAAAUUAGCAGUUCACAAUAUCACAAAAUCACAGGUGGCAAUAAAAAUUGUGGACAAAACUAAACUUGAUGAUGAUAACUUAAGGAAAACCUAUCGAGAAGUGGAUGUCAUGAAGAAGUUAAAGCAUCCAAACAUUAUCAAACUUUACCAAGUCAUGCAAACAGAUAAAAUGCUUUAUCUUGUGACAGAAUAUGUUCCAGGGGGUGAAAUAUUUGACUAUCUAGUUGCCAAUGGACGGAUGACAGAAAAAGAAGCUAGGAGAGUUUUCAAACAGAUACUGGCAGCAGUUGGUUACUGUCACAAAUGCUGUGUUGUUCACAGAGAUCUAAAAGCUGAAAAUCUUUUACUUGAUGCAAAAAUGAACAUUAAGCUUGCAGAUUUUGGCUUCAGCAACUAUUAUCAACCUGGUCAGUUACUCUCAACAUGGUGUGGUAGCCCUCCCUAUGCAGCUCCUGAACUGUUUGAAGGGAAAGAAUAUGAUGGGCCAAAGGCUGAUAUAUGGAGUCUGGGCGUAGUUCUGUAUGUACUAGUGUGCGGUGCUUUACCGUUUGAUGGUUCCACUCUUCAGCUCCUUCGCAGCCGCGUGCUGUCCGGGAUAUUCCGUAUCCCAUAUUUCAUGACGACAGAUUGUGAACACUUAAUACGACACAUGCUAAUAGUAGAUCCCGAUCGACGGCUGAGUAUUCCGCAAAUUCUUCAACAUCGAUGGCUCAUAAUGGAUGAUGAUGGGCGAGCUGGACCCGACAAGUCUUCUGAAGUGAAUGGUGACCUUCCGGCAGACGAUCAUAUAUUAGUCAAUGAAUCGAUCGUCGACACAAUGCUGAAAAUACCGGGUUUAGAUAGGGAAAUCAUUCUAAAAUCUGUGCAGGAAAGACGCUUCGACCCGAUCAGUGCAGUGUAUCAUUUAUUAGAUGAUACGUCAGUAGCAAAAUCGAACAGUUCUUCGAAUAUUACAAAUGAUUUUACUCACACCGCUACCCCAGCAGCAGGUUGGCCAAGCUUGAGCGAUAGCCAGCAUUUAGAAAAAUUUGUAGAUAUGGAUUUAGAUGAACCUAAACAACCAAGGGCAUCCACGAGCGGAAACGAUGGGCCAAGCAAGCAAAGUGGCGAAAGAAAUUUGGCUACUCGACGGCAUACGGUUGGACCAAGUGAAACAGCUCACGAUCAAGUGAUGGGAAAACAUUUGAAACUCGAUCAUUCUGGUGCGAGAGGAGCUCCUUCCUUCUAUCCGGCUACGGGUUUCACCGCCCUUGGUUACAGUCCUCUAAAUCUGCCGUCGCACGUGGCUUUUAAUCCAAACACAGGGCUGAAUAACAUUUUUGAUACACGGCCAGGAUUUUUACCAAAUUUUGAGUUAAACAUGCGCUCACCGGCCACAGUUCCAUCAACGUUGAAUACGCAGUUCCCCACUCUCUCUGGUGUCCAAAACUCAUCUGGUAUGCAUCAUGGAGCUUCGUUUGCGUCACCUUCCCAUCCUAUGUCAAUGUUGCCGCACACUAAUCUCCCGCUGAUGCUGCCGUUACUGCAGAAUGAACCCCCGCACAAUUUUAGCGUCAAGGAUCAACAUUUACUAAAACCCCCAUCAGCAAUGGGAGCAGCAGGAGGGUUCGGUCGUCGGGCAUCGGAUGGCGGUGCCAAUCUGUUAACUUUCUUUCAAAAGAAUAUAGAACACAGUGACUGGAGUACUGUGCAGCAACAAAAGCAGCAGUCCAUCCAUAUGGACUCUGUGCAUCACCUUUCGAAUCCAUUGGCGAUUAAUACCUCAUCCACCCCAUCUCAUGUUUCCCCAGGAAGUCAAACUGCAGAGUCAUUGGAAGAUUCCUCCAACUCGGUUGAGCUAACAAGGUAUAUACAUAGGGGAAAGCGGCAUACAUUGCCCAUGGCUAAUCCAGAGGAAACUCAAUGUCUUCAACAGCCGGCCUCUACCAGAAUGCGUAAACAGGGUUUAGUUCCCAUGCAUCGACCGUCAGUGAUCAGUCCCGAGCUAAUGAUUGAAGUGGAAGCUCGAAUGAACCGUCAGUACACGCCACCUAGUCUCCUUCCAGGCAAUCCCGCCCCUUCUACAAGCAUGAGCAUGAAUAACUGUGUAGGUGUGCCUCCAAAUACUCAAGCUCGUCCUAUUCCCAAGAUUCGACGCUCAGGCUUGGCAACUGUCAUGGAAGGGCCCGGUCCCAUAUUCAUAGGACGUGAUGGUUUGGUACGCGGCGAUAUGAACGUACUGACACUACCAUCAGAACGUUACCCACGGCGGGCUAGUGACGGAUGCGCAUCAAUUGGCCAAUACCGAAUGUCAGAGAGAGAGGGUGAAGAUUCUAAUAGCACAACCGGCAAUGUUUCCUCGGCUUCUCAGCUCAAAGCUAUACAACAAGAAUACCAAGCAUUACAACGCCAAAUGGUAAGCACCAAUAGCAACGACAUGCAGAUGCGACAUGCCAUUCACGUACAGCAGAGGCAACAACAACAGCAACAGCAGCAAAUGUCUCCUCGAAUGACCCCGACGCCCCCACCUACGUCGACGUCACCAGUUGCAUCAGAUUUUUGUGCCAUCAAUUCGCCCCAUUACCUGAACCACAUGUGUUGCGAAAGUGGGACUCUUUCUCAGCAUCUCCAGCAGUUACAACUUCAACAACAACAGCAAAAACAAAUCCCUCCACCUGCACAGUCCACGCUAUUGCAAUCCUACAGCCAGUCUCCGCCUGUUACUGGUGUGCCUGGUUGCUGUGGCUCCAAUGUUGGUGGGUCAAUAGUGCAAGGUACGGGCCGCCCAAUGGGUUCCAUUGUUCAAGGAACGCCAAUUGUAUCUCAAGGAUCUCUUGUGUCAGCAACGCCUUCGCUUGGAUUCUUCAACAUAGAAAACGCUCAGAAUUCGGUCAUAAUGCCACGAGUUCAAGGAGGUUCUAUUAUCCAAGGAACUCCAUAUACUCUUCCGACAGUGCCAAAUAAACUGGACGUCUUCGCUAAUCAGGCUCCGACGUUGAUGCCAAUUUCAACAUUUGCAGGAGGAUCUAUAACGCAAGGAACACCGGUGAACCGCAUGGUUGAAGUGGAGGAUAUGGAAGCAGAUGCGACUGAAGACGAUACUAAUCCAGCGGAAGAGGCUUUAGACUUGAGUGUUAGAAAUUUUAAAAAUCGGACGAAGAACGAAUGGACGUGCCAACGAGAGGUUGAAAGAAAACCAAUGUUUACCGGUCCACCUCACCCUCAGAUCUCCAUUACGGACGAGCAGGGUGAAGUGACUGACAUGUCAUGGAGUGUGUAUGCCCAUUUAAGCGGCAAAAACGGUACCUGUCGUCAGGUGGGCUUACAGAAUCUUCAGAACGACGUGCUUUCCUCGUCUUUGUUGGCUGGUGAUAUAAGUUCUAUGGCAGCCUAUCCCGAGUUGCAUAAAUCUUCCAGUGGAUCUAUCGAAGUACAGCUUUCAUCCGACUGUUCGCAGUUGACUGUUGCAGAAAUUUUUGCCUUGAUCAAACGCUCGAUUCACACCAAGGCUUCGGGACUGGUGUCGCGUCAGAUGGAAGAUGAUGCUGCACUCGUGCUCGAACGACCCGGAGAAGAUAUUUAUAUUGCUGUCGAAGUUAGCCCACCUGCUGGACCAGAAGGUUUAAAGGGCUUGAAAAUCCGUCGUAUAUCGGGCGAUUAUGUCCGUUACGAUCGUAUAUGUAAUGAGCUGAUUGCUUGUAUCAGCAUGUAACUAAUCCCCUCCUAUUCCUUUGUGUGUUUGUUUUGUUUGUGUGCGUGUGUGUGUGUGUUUGUGUUUGUGCGUGGUUGGAUGAACAACUCUCCCCAACUAUCCCUACUCCCCAUUGAACGAUAGCCUGGACGCGCUUGCCCUUGCAAUCCAUUCCGAUCGUUAGCAGAAAUUAUGCGUACAACGCAUUGUAUAUUUUGGGUCUGUUUUGUUUGUAUGCGUAUGCGUGCUUCGUCAAAUGUCGUCUCGGAAACCGUGCUAGUCGCAAGCAACCAGUUUGAGUGAGCAAUUGAUAUGACAGGACAUUCCCCGUCUUACAUUUCCCACCUUUCUGUUAAGUUUUUAGCAACGCCUUUUUCUCUUUUUAUGGGUUUGCUUUAAGGCAGGUCCUGCAAUUCUCGAUUUUUUUAAUUUUGUCUUUGUUAAUCUUGCCCUGUUGCACGAUAUUCAUGAAUUUCUCUAAUCAGAACUCAUAUUGAGACAGGUCUAUAGACAUUUUACGCAAAGCAUUUAUCUAUUAUAAGCUAAUAGAUUUGCAUCUGUCAAACUUGAGAUAUAUUUUCCCCCUCAUACGUAUCGCUUGACUAAUGAAGCUAGACCUUGUUCUUCCUUCCUUCUCUACUGUACUCUUUCGUAAUCAAUACUUCAUGCACUUCGAACGUCGGGAAAAUCGUUCACCUUCGCACACCGCAUUCCGCCGUCAAUGUGAUUACUCAACAAACAGGAUUCCGUUUGCAAUGCCCCGAAGAGUCUAAUGUCAUUACGUCGUUGUAAACACGUUUCAAGUUAAAAUUACGUCUCUGGGGACGAAGGGUUGGAAAGAGGCAUUUUAUCGUAUAUGACUGUUAAAAUAAAAGAUUUGAUCCGAGAA